GGAGAGGUGGCUCAGUAGUCUAAGAGCACUGGCUUCUCAAGCAGAGGACCCAGGUUUGAUUCCUAGCACCUACA
Molecule: transfer RNA, 74 nt
Filed under: Neotoma lepida (desert woodrat)
Lineage: Eukaryota; Metazoa; Chordata; Mammalia; Rodentia; Cricetidae
Rfam family: tRNA
About the family: Transfer RNA (tRNA) molecules are approximately 80 nucleotides in length. Their secondary structure includes four short double-helical elements and three loops (D, anti-codon, and T loops).
Source: Rfam by way of RNAcentral